RNAcentral lists this long non-coding RNA (793 nucleotides) under Anser brachyrhynchus (Pink-footed goose). RNAcentral's name for it is "lncRNA (ENSABRG00000013363.1)". Lineage: Eukaryota; Metazoa; Chordata; Aves; Anseriformes; Anatidae. The record is from RNAcentral.
UGCCCAUCUUUUUUUUUUUUUUUUUCCUUUCCUAGUUGUAUGGGGAAGGAAGAAAUGAAGAAAAAUGCAGUAGGAAAGUAGGAAUAAUGAUAAAUAUAUUGUUCAAAAGACAAAAGUAUAUAUCUCAGUAGAGAAAUGCAAACAUUGAAGUACUUUCCUACAAUGAUUUCUAUUUUAUUUUUACUGAUUAUGCACUCUUUGCAGCUGUCAUAAGGCGUCAAUUGCAAUGGAAAAGGGAAAUGGAAUCUAUGCAAUUGCCAACUGAAAAGAAGAAAAAAAUACAGCACAAAAUGGGACAGUUGUUCUGACCUUCCAAUUGCAGGUAUAGGUGGACAACUUAAGGAAUAGCAACGCACAAUCCAGAAGGAUAUUUGUAUCCUUGACGUGACAAAACAGCCAUAAGUGUAAUUGAAAUAUAUGAUCCUUUUGGCAUUGAUGCAGAUACCUAAUUUUGAUGGUGUAGGAGAAUGAAUGAUGUGACAUUUUGCUCAUUUUCCUCAGCUAUAGCUUGUACAGUUUCUUAAGAGUAAAUGACCUUACAGUAUUGUAUAAUAUAGUCUUGACCCUGACUGUUAUGGCAGCUUAAAGUGUAAACAUGCAGUCAGCAAAACAGCACUACUGAAAGUUGGAUAUAAUUUACAGUGGGACAAAAUCAACUGAAAGUUUCAAUGGCAGUGCCUGAUGGCCUUGACAUUGUUCUAAGUCUAUAUCAUAAUAGGUUCAGUUAAAACCAGAAAUUUUGUCUCUGGAUGGAAGUUUAUUUAAAGACACAAAAUACCAAAUUCAUUUAUAU